Molecule: ribosomal RNA, 1341 nt
Filed under: Mycobacterium sp. DWMJ-1228A3
Lineage: Bacteria; Bacillati; Actinomycetota; Actinomycetes; Mycobacteriales; Mycobacteriaceae
Description: bacterial SSU rRNA
Rfam family: Bacterial small subunit ribosomal RNA
Source: RNAcentral
GACCCUUCGGGGUUAGUGGCGAACGGGUGAGUAACACGUGGGUGAUCUGCCCUGCACUUUGGGAUAAGCCUGGGAAACUGGGUCUAAUACCGGAUAGGACUACGCACUGCAUGGUGUGUGGUGGAAAGCUUUUGCGGUGUGGGAUGGGCCCGCGGCCUAUCAGCUUGUUGGUGGGGUGAUGGCCUACCAAGGCGACGACGGGUAGCCGGCCUGAGAGGGUGACCGGCCACACUGGGACUGAGAUACGGCCCAGACUCCUACGGGAGGCAGCAGUGGGGAAUAUUGCACAAUGGGCGCAAGCCUGAUGCAGCGACGCCGCGUGAGGGAUGACGGCCUUUCGGGUUGUAAACCUCUUUCGCCAGGGACGAAGCGCAAGUGACGGUACCUGGAGAAGAAGGACCGGCCAACUACGUGCCAGCAGCCGCGGUAAUACGUAGGGUCCGAGCGUUGUCCGGAAUUACUGGGCGUAAAGAGCUCGUAGGUGGUUUGUCGCGUUGUUCGUGAAAACUCACAGCUUAACUGUGGGCGUGCGGGCGAUACGGGCAGACUGGAGUACUGCAGGGGAGACUGGAAUUCCUGGUGUAGCGGUGGAAUGCGCAGAUAUCAGGAGGAACACCGGUGGCGAAGGCGGGUCUCUGGGCAGUAACUGACGCUGAGGAGCGAAAGCGUGGGGAGCGAACAGGAUUAGAUACCCUGGUAGUCCACGCCGUAAACGGUGGGUACUAGGUGUGGGUUUCCUUCCUUGGGAUCCGUGCCGUAGCUAACGCAUUAAGUACCCCGCCUGGGGAGUACGGCCGCAAGGCUAAAACUCAAAGGAAUUGACGGGGGCCCGCACAAGCGGCGGAGCAUGUGGAUUAAUUCGAUGCAACGCGAAGAACCUUACCUGGGUUUGACAUGCACAGGACGCCGGCAGAGAUGUCGGUUCCCUUGUGGCCUGUGUGCAGGUGGUGCAUGGCUGUCGUCAGCUCGUGUCGUGAGAUGUUGGGUUAAGUCCCGCAACGAGCGCAACCCUUGUCUCAUGUUGCCAGCACGUUAUGGUGGGGACUCGUGAGAGACUGCCGGGGUCAACUCGGAGGAAGGUGGGGGAUGACGUCAAGUCAUCAUGCCCCUUAUGUCCAGGGCUUCACACAUGCUACAAUGGCCGGUACAAAGGGCUGCGAUGCCGUGAGGUGGAGCGAAUCCUUUCAAAGCCGGUCUCAGUUCGGAUCGGGGUCUGCAACUCGACCCCCUGAAGUCGGAGUCGCUAGUAAUCGCAGAUCAGCAACGCUGCGGUGAAUACGUUCCGCGGGCCUUGUACACACCGCCCGUCACGUCAUGAAAGUCGGUAACACCCGAAGCCGG